Long non-coding RNA from Caretta caretta (loggerhead turtle), 567 nucleotides. RefSeq lists it as uncharacterized. The record is from RefSeq and is a predicted model, not a curated record. NCBI's taxonomy places the organism in Eukaryota, Metazoa, Chordata, Testudines, Cheloniidae.
AGGUUCAAGAUUACUCUGUCUAUUCUCUCUCUCUCUCUCUCUCUCUGUACCCACCUCUGUUUAGUGAUAUGUAUAUGUGUGUGUAGAUAGAUAGAAACACACAGGUGAUUUAUUUAUAUACAUACUCUGCAAAGAACUAAUUAGGGGGAAAGGAAUGUGAAAGGAACUGAAAAGGAGGAUUGGGGAAUCAUUAAGCCUGAAAAAAAAAAAUCAGUAAAUAAAACUCAAAACACCAAAAUGCAAGUUAUGAUAAUACCUGAAGAGAGCCAAGGAAUUUUUUAAAGACAGAAUCUAGGAGGGAAUGAAGGCUGGAAGCUAUGAAGAGAAACUGGAAGGAACUGCUUUGUGAAUUUCUUUAUUUCUUCAGCACAACUGAAUCUGUGUACAUACUGGCUGAAACUCUCCCUUUUGCAGAGAACUAGCCCACGGAUGGUUCCACAUGGAUCCAGUUUAAGCAGAGUGAAUUUCACCUUCUGAAGUCAUUCCUCUUGCCAGUUACUGGAGACAGAGAGAGAGAGAGAGAAUCUGGCCUGAAGUACAGCUCUGUGUAAGCUCAAAAGCUCAUCU